AUACAUCUAGUUCAUACCCCUAAACUCCCUAGAUGGAAGGAAAGUUUUCUUUCCUUCAUUUUUUU
This 65-nucleotide small RNA is filed under the name Litchfieldia salsa. Its description in RNAcentral is "Bacillus sp. A24(2010) Listeria sRNA sbrA". It matches the Rfam family "Listeria sRNA sbrA". The record is from Rfam by way of RNAcentral. Lineage: Bacteria; Bacillati; Bacillota; Bacilli; Caryophanales; Bacillaceae.